AAGCCUGCAUCCCGUGAUCUUCUCUUUGACGGUUCGACUUUGCUUCCAUAUCUCCUCCUUCGGUCCUCCACAGCCUCCAUGACCAUUGUCCGUGCACAGCCGCCGUCUGCCGCAGCUUUGUCAAUCGUCCUUCUCAGGUGUCAGCGAUCUUAGCCGUGAGGAGCGAGCGACACACCGUUCCCGUUGACGCCGUCGUCCGUCGGCAUCCGGUAUUGCUGUACGCUAUACCUGUACUGAUUGUGAUUGGCGUCCCAUCCGACACCAGAACGAGAACCCCUUCAAUUUGUAAGUUUAUUUUUUCUUCUCUUCUGAUUAUUAUCUUUUACGAUUAUAUAGGAACUAUGAUAUUAUAGAUUGCUCUUCAAUCUUCAUUUAGAAAAUUGGAUCUUGUCAAAUCCAAAAUAGCUGAAAACAAAAUUUCCAGAAAAAAGAGAUAAUUGGAUCUCAUUUUUAGGCCAUCGAUCGUUGCAUGUUGUGUGACUGCGCCCCAAGUUUAGUCCAUCGAUCGUGCGUGUUCUCCCCGUCUUCUCUCGCCUAGAUCAGAUAAAUCUACCCAUGUCUGGUCUAUUGCAGCGGCGAAGCCACGCUAUACCUAUGUGGUAGAAUGACUAGAGGAAUUUAGCAAGUCUACGUAACUACUAGAUGCAUGCACACCCCGCUGCUAAACAAAUUACUUAAAGCUGACUACACAGUCCAUGUGAUAUCAUUGCCUGUCAGGGCUAUCAGAAUUCUUAGAUGUCAGGCUUUUUAACCUUUUUUUUGCAUGUUGCAUAUGAAUUAUGAUAUUAUUCCCUAGAAAAAAAUUAUACCUAUAUUUGAAUCAUAGUUGUAUAUGAAUUUCACUUUUGCAGAAUGUGUUAGUCAUAGAUAUGGAUAUUGUUGACCAUAAAAAAGAACCUAUCAACAAGAGCCCGAAGGUCAUGUCGUUGGAAGAGACUAAAACCUCAGCAAGUUCUAUACAGCCUACAGAUGCGCAGAUAGAAAUAGCCAAUUUACGUCAUACCAAACCAAGAAGAGCAAAUACAAAUAUUACACCGGGAGGACAUGAAAGAUAAUUUGAUUAAGCGCAACUGGACAUGAUUUACUAGGUGUAGUUUCUGUGAUCGGGAUGAAACUAUCAAGCAUCUUUUCUUUGAUUGCCCGAUGGCGAGGGUGUUGUGGCGCUCGGUGCAAAUUUCCUUUAACAUUACUCCUCUGAAUUCGGUCAGGUCGUUUUUUGGAACGUGGCUGGUUGGUAUAGAGGCCGAAACAGCUAGACAAAUUCGAGUGGGAGCAUGUGCGUUGUUAUGGGCAAUUUGGAACUGCAGAAAUGACUUGGCUUUUAACAGAACAACAACUAUUCAUUUUUUACAGGUUUUAUUCCGGGCCUGCGCUAAUCCGUACGUGUUCAUUACUCACUCCGACGGAGGCCAGGGCGCGUUUGGUUACUGGAUCUGUCCGGUGGGAGAUGGUAGCGCGGGAUAUCUUCAACCGGUUUGGAUGACAGUCAUGUAAUAGGAUAGGCGCUUAGUUUACCUAUCUCUCUUUAUUAUGCCAGCCGGUUGUGGCUUUUGAGCCUUGUUUUACUUUGCUAGCUCUAUGUGAGCCAGCAUCCUUUAUUGCAGCACUUUGCAAGACAUUGUUGAACUACUUUAUUUAUUUAUAAAUGUGGCCGUAUGCAUCGUUCUGAUGCAGAGGUAGGGG
RNAcentral lists this long non-coding RNA (1683 nucleotides) under Triticum aestivum (bread wheat). RNAcentral's name for it is "long non-coding RNA (TAES_LNC015734)". The record is from RNAcentral. Lineage: Eukaryota; Viridiplantae; Streptophyta; Magnoliopsida; Poales; Poaceae.